AGUGAACGCUGGCGGUAGGCCUAACACAUGCAAGUCGAACGGCAGCACAGUAAGAGCUUGCUCUUACGGGUGGCGAGUGGCGGACGGGUGAGGAAUACAUCGGAAUCUACUUUUUCGUGGGGGAUAACGUAGGGAAACUUACGCUAAUACCGCAUACGACCUACGGGUGAAAGCAGGGGAUCUUCGGACCUUGCGCGAUUGAAUGAGCCGAUGUCGGAUUAGCUAGUUGGCGGGGUAAAGGCCCACCAAGGCGACGAUCCGUAGCUGGUCUGAGAGGAUGAUCCGGCAACCUUGAACUGAGACACGGUCCAGACUCCUACGGGAGGCAGCAGUGGGGAAUAUUGGACAAUGGGCGCAAGCCUGAUCCAGCCAUACCGCGUGGGUGAAGAAGGCCUUCGGGUUGUAAAGCCCUUUUGUUGGGAAAGAAAAGCAGCAGGUUAAUACCCCGCUGUUCUGACGGUACCCAAAGAAUAAGCACCGGCUAACUUCGUG
Molecule: ribosomal RNA, 492 nt
Filed under: uncultured bacterium
Lineage: Bacteria
Description: partial 16S ribosomal RNA
Rfam family: Bacterial small subunit ribosomal RNA
Source: RNAcentral